Molecule: ribosomal RNA, 1288 nt
Filed under: Triticum aestivum (bread wheat)
Lineage: Eukaryota; Viridiplantae; Streptophyta; Magnoliopsida; Poales; Poaceae
Description: partial small subunit ribosomal RNA
Source: RNAcentral
UUCGUAAACGGAAACCUUAAUUUCUUCUAGUCUCAUACUGUGACUGGACUCUAGUAUGCUUCGCCACUCGAUUAAUACAAAAUGACACGAAGUACGAAAAGACAGUAUCAGACGCAGUAUUUUAAAAGGGAUAUCUAAAGUCACGAUCGUUUAUAGGAUUUCUGUAUGUCUCUUCCGUUAGUCACGUCACCUAAGGUUAUAACUACGUUCUUUUUACGGAAACCCAACUUCGGGUGAAUGAUUAUAAGAGUACCAGAGAGAGAGACACACACACAUCGAUAAGGAUAAACACUAAUAGUAGAACAUCCUACAAUUAGUCAUGGAAUGGAAACUGAAGGUAAGUUUCAACUUCGCUAAUAAUGAAUAGAUAAAUAGACAAAGUUACUUAUUCGGGUGAAUGAUUAUAAGAGUACCACAAAAUUGUUUAUAUAUAUGGUAGCCGAACUGCCGCUCCUCCCUUCGGGGCGUCUAGCUCCUCCUGCCGCGCUGCUGACACGACAUCCACUUCUCGUACCAGUACAGUACCAUGGCGUAUAACCACCACCAGGCGAAAGGACGAUACCGCAGGUUGUGCUGAUGUGGGAAAAUGAACCGGACGAUAAACUAACCCUCCCACGAGAAAACGAAAUUUCUGUACUAACCACCUACAUAAAACCAAAAUACUACCGGUCCAACUCGUUUUAGUGUACAAAAAAAAAGUUCAAACUCUUCUUUUUCUGUGGCCUUGUCAGACUAUUUCAUCUAGAUACGAUCGUUGAUCGUAGUAGUAAGAAACACGACCUAACCAGUUUGCAACCUGUAAACUUCUCUUCCUUGAAGCACACUCUAAUUAUAGAAAGACUAGUCAUCGUAGUGGGCACUGUUCCUAAAUAUUACUUACCGGUAAUCUUCUCUCCUUUCCUGCCUGUCUUCCAAACGAUGUGUUAACUUGUACAAGGUAAUAACUAACCAAAAGUUAUAACCACGUAGACCCAGGGUGCGGCACCGCACCUGUGCCACCGGGACGGCUUCGCCCACACCAGCUCGGUGACCUACUACAUCGGCCACCGAGGUCAGUGCGUGUAGCCGACCAGGACGAGGCCGCUCGUCGGCGACGGGAAGGACAGGACUAUAACGGAACGUAGAGGAAAUCCACUCCCACAACCUGCGGCUCGUCCCUCAUUUUUUAACACCUCGACAGUCAGGCAUUUGCGAGAACAUUGUGAAAAUGAAUAGGUGUGGGCUUUUCGUCGAUUCGACGUCAAACAAUCACUACACGAUGUCAAAGUGAACAUACCUUUCUCUGCUC